CAUAAUGAGUGUCAUAGGUUUGAUGCUUGUUUGGCAAAGAGUAUGAUUUGAUUCGAUGUGGAAUUGAAAUCGAAGUGUUUAGUAUAUUGCUGAAGCUUCCAUUUUUACACAUGGACACCACUUCAUGCUGCGAGAACCCACUUUGGCGCAGUCUCAGGGCUUAAUCGAUGGCCGGUAAGCUGUCAUCGAGACAAGGAGGUUCUCCGAUAGUGGAAAUAUCACAUUUGUACAAUGAACCGCUACAUAUGUGAUUUUUCCCUAUCUUAAUGUGGAAUUUAGGAUUUCAACUAUAAAUAUCAACUUUUUAUACUUUGCCUUUAGUUAUUUAGGGACAAAAUUAGUAACAGUGAAUUUAGUAAUUCUAUCAGAAUCGGUGAUUUUCAUUCAAGUAGCAUAAAAACCAUUCUGAUUUGUCAAAAUUUCCAUAGAGUCUCGAUCAAUCAAUAGUGAAAUGAUAUCGGACUAAAUUCGUUGAUCUGUUGAACUAACGGUUGUCGGAUUAUGAUUGUAUCGACCAUUGUUGCGAAUCGAGGAUCUACUGGAAUUCUGACGAACAAAUGGUCGUCUCUUUUUCAAUUCACGACUUGUAAAAUAUCAACUGUUAUUUUUUUUUGUUUUUUUAAAAGAAGCCAGACAGGUUUAAAAAAAAACGUUUUUUUUUGGUUAAUAAUUAAAAUGUCGGGGAUUUGAGAUAAGAGUAGCUUUCGGAUAGGUUGCUUUAAAUCUUGUAUUCAAUUCAAGUUAGGUAGUUAUCCGCAAAUGAAUAUUUGGACUUAUAUGAAUAAUUGAACAUUUUGGACUUAUGAAUAACACACACUGUGCAUUUAUUCUAGAGUCAGAUCCAUACAGCGUCAGUGUUUAUUUGGUCGAAGUGUACUAAUUCAUUGGCAGAUCUGAUUCUAGUUGUAAUGUACGACAAGACUACUGACGGACGUGACAGGACGAGGGCCCAGUUUAGAGGUUUCGACAUCAACGAUGUGCGGCUGGAUCACCUUCCCAAAAAAAAAAAAAAAAAAAAAAAAACAGGAAAA
Molecule: long non-coding RNA, 1031 nt
Organism: Culex pipiens pallens (northern house mosquito)
Lineage: Eukaryota; Metazoa; Arthropoda; Insecta; Diptera; Culicidae
Exons: 2
Source: RefSeq, a predicted model, not a curated record